GGACGAACGCUGGCGGCGUGCUUAACACAUGCAAGUCGAGCGGUAAGGCCCUUUCGGGGGUACACGAGCGGCGAACGGGUGAGUAACACGUGGGUGACCUGCCCUCAGCUCUGGGAUAAGCCUGGGAAACUGGGUCUAAUACUGGAUAUGACUCCACGGUGCAUGUCGUGGGGUGGAAAGCCUUGUGCGGCUGAGGAUGGGCCCGCGGCUUAUCAGCUUGUUGGUGGGGUGANGGCCUACCAAGGCGACGACGGGUAGCCGGCCUGAGAGGGCGACCGGCCACACUGGGACUGAGACACGGCCCAGACUCCUACGGGAGGCAGCAGUGGGGAAUCUUGCGC
Molecule: ribosomal RNA, 341 nt
Filed under: uncultured bacterium
Lineage: Bacteria
Description: bacterial SSU rRNA
Rfam family: Bacterial small subunit ribosomal RNA
Source: RNAcentral